RNAcentral lists this unclassified non-coding RNA (357 nucleotides) under soil metagenome. RNAcentral's name for it is "partial contains 5.8S ribosomal RNA, internal transcribed spacer 2, and large subunit ribosomal RNA". The stretch from base 1 to 120 matches the Rfam family "5.8S ribosomal RNA", at positions 35 to 154 of the family's 154-position model. The record is from RNAcentral.
GAUGAAGAACGUAGUGAAAUGCGAUAAGUAAUGUGAAUUGCAGAAUUCAGUGAAUCAUCGAAUCUUUGAACGCACAUUGCGCCCGCCAGUAUUCUGGCGGGCAUGCCUGUUCGAGCGUCAUUUCAACCCUCAGGCCCCCAGUGCCUGGCGUUGGGGAUCGGCCGCUGGCGUCCUUCGGGGCGCCUGGCCGGCCCCGAAAUCUAGUGGCGGUCUCGCUGUAGUCCUCCUCUGCGUAGUAGCACAACCUCGCAGUUGGAACGCGGCGGUGGCCAUGCCGUUAAACACCCCACUUCUGAAAGUUGACCUCGGAUCAGGUAGGAAUACCCGCUGAACUUAAGCAUAUCAAUAAGCGGAGGA